GCUCCUUCGGAGUCCGAGUUGUAAUUUGUAGAAGAUGCUUUGGGUUGUGGGCUCGGCCUAAGUUCCUUGGAACAGGACGUCAUAGAGGGUGAGAAUCCCGUAUGUGGCCAUGGCCCGCGCCUAUGUAAAGCUCUUUCGACGAGUCGAGUUGUUUGGGAAUGCAGCUCAAAAUGGGUGGUAAAUUUCAUCUAAAGCUAAAUAUGGGCCAGAGACCGAUAGCGCACAAGUAGAGUGAUCGAAAGAUGAAAAGCACUUUGGAAAGAGAGUUAAACAGUACGUGAAAUUGUUGAAAGGGAAGCGCUUGCAACCAGACUUGGGCGCUGCCGAUCACCCCGAGUUCUCUCGGGUGCACUCGACAGCGCACAGGCCAGCAUCGGUUCGGGUGGCUGGAUAAAGGCCGUAGGAAUGUAGCUCUCUUCGGGGAGUGUUAUAGCCCACGGUGCCAUGCAGCCCAGCCGGACCGAGGACCGCGCCUUCGGGCUAGGAUGCUGGCGUAAUGGUUGUAAGCGACCCGUCUUGAAACACGGACCAAGGAGUCUAACAUCUAUGCGAGUGUUUGGGCGUUAAACCCAUACGCGGAAUGAAAGUGAACGUAGGUGAGAACCCCUUUGGGGCGCAUCAUCGACCGAUCCUGAUGUCUUCGGAUG
Molecule: ribosomal RNA, 647 nt
Filed under: Erysiphe sedi
Lineage: Eukaryota; Fungi; Ascomycota; Leotiomycetes; Helotiales; Erysiphaceae
Description: partial large subunit ribosomal RNA
Rfam family: Eukaryotic large subunit ribosomal RNA
Source: RNAcentral